Molecule: long non-coding RNA, 878 nt
Filed under: Carica papaya (papaya)
Lineage: Eukaryota; Viridiplantae; Streptophyta; Magnoliopsida; Brassicales; Caricaceae
Description: long non-coding RNA (CPAP_LNC008514)
Source: RNAcentral
AUUAUUAUAUGAAUGUGUUUUGUGUGUCUUGUGCUAGUCGCCUCUGUUAGGAAUGGAAUCUGUAUAACCAUAACCUUCAACCCUUCUUCAACACUGAACCCAAAUGGGCAUUGUCUCAAAACCCUCCCUGUUUCUGCUUCUCAUCGCAGUUUUGAUGACUUCUUCAAGCUCCACUGUUGCAGAAGCACGGCCAGUUUUCCUCAUGCCUAAACAAGGUAAGAAUUAACCAAGCUGAUCUCUCCAUGAAUUUUCCAUCUGAAUCUUGAAUGGUUUUCUCAUAUAUGUGUCUGAUUCUGUAGGUGGUGGGUCAGGGAUUGCCACCAUGCUCGGAGUUAUUUGCAAGUGUUGUGAUGGUGUUGGAGGAGAGUGUUCCGGCACCUGGGCUGGAUCAUGCUCUAAUCUACAAUGUCAACCAUGGAAAAAUACAGUAGUUUAAUUAGAAUGCUAUGUAUUAUACGUUAUUACUGGUAUAAAUAUACAUAUAUAUAUAUAUGUGCUUUCUUUUUCCCAUGUAAAGAUGCGUUUGUACUAAAGAUCAUAUGCUUCUAUCAAUUGGGUAUGCGCUCAAUUUUGAAUAUAUCGGAGUAAAGCCCAUCAUCAUACUUAGCUGAUAAGAUUGUUGUGGGGAGAUAAAUCUGAACUUACUUUUGGAAAGAACUGGAGAACAGUUUCUAGGGAAAUCCGUUUGGACUUUUUCUGGGCAGAUGUGAAUUGAAUAGUGAAUUAGUUAGUUGACUGAAAAUUGGAGAUGGUGAUUUUUGAGGCUGAGACUGAGAGCUUGUAGUAGCGAUUGACCGGAGCCUGAUAAAAACCACUUGUUUAAAACUUUAACGUCUCUCACUUAUUGAAUUCAUCAGCUUUCUAGAAUUAAAUAGAUC